RNAcentral lists this transfer RNA (76 nucleotides) under Myxococcales bacterium. RNAcentral describes it as "tRNA-Trp". It matches the Rfam family "tRNA". Rfam says of the family: Transfer RNA (tRNA) molecules are approximately 80 nucleotides in length. Lineage: Bacteria; Pseudomonadati; Myxococcota; Myxococcia; Myxococcales. The record is from RNAcentral.
AGGUCACUAGCUCAACUGGUAGAGCACCGGUCUCCAAAACCGGGGGUUGGGGGUUCGAUUCCCUCGUGGCCUGCCA